UGGAGGGUGGCAGCUCCUCCACCUGGGCUGUGUCGGUGUGUCCCCUGUGCCAGGGCCAUCCCAGCUGGCCGCUUGCCCCAGGGAGAUCCCAACCGGCCUCCUGCACCCUCUCUGCAGCUCCAGGCACCCCUGUGAAGGUGUUGCAUGGCACCCCUGAAUUCAUGGCUCCAGAAGUGGUCGCCUUUGAGCCUGUGAGCUUCUCCACAGACAUGUGGAGUGUUGGUGUCAUCUGCUACAUCCUGCUGAGUGGGGAGUCGCCCUUCCAGGGGGACACCGACAUGGAGACCCUGAGCAACGUCACAGCUGCCCAGUGGGACUUUGAGGAGGAGACCUUCUCGGAGAUCUCCCAGCAAGCCAAGGACUUCAUCAGCCAACUGCUGCAGAAGGACCCCUGGUAGGGCCUGGGGUGGCUGUGGGCUGCUCAGCUGGAGCUGGGCUGGGUUUUGGAGUGCUGAGGGGAUGGGUGGGGGAAAGCUCUGCCUUGGGUGGAGGGGCACUCUGGGUGAGGGUGGAGGAGCCCCCCGUGACCCCUUGUGUGCUGCAGCCGGCGGCUCCGCAGUGCAGGGGCUCUGCUGCACCCCUGGCUGCAGCAGCCCCAGCCCAGCAGCCCCAGGGUGCUGUCCAAGGAGAGGAUCAGGCGGUUCCUGGCACGGCGCAAGUGGCAGAAAACAGGGAAGGCCCUGCUGGCUCUCAAGAGGCUGGCACUGCUGUCCCAGAGCUCAGAGGGGAAGGCACCAGAGGCUCAGGAUGAGGAAGGCCUGGGCUGCAGCCUGGAGAAGGAACAGCCCUCCAGAGCUCUGCCCCAACGAGGUGCCAACCCCUCAGAGCUGCUGACAGACCAGGAGGAGGAGGAGGAUGGUGGUGGGAGCUUGGCAGCCUCAGGGCAGUGACAGUGUGGCCCCGUCACCCCCAUCCUGGACCACCUGGAGAUGGGGAUGGUGCCCCUCCAGCAGCUCCCACCGUGACCUGGCCAGCCUGGGGCAGACCCAGACCCUGAUGUGGGUGAGCUCUGGGGUCCCUGUGCUGCUGUCCCUGCCAGGCACCUGCCCCCAAUAAAGCACUGAACAACUCUGCA
RNAcentral lists this long non-coding RNA (1075 nucleotides) under Lonchura striata (white-rumped munia). RNAcentral describes it as "domestica (Bengalese finch) lncRNA (ENSLSDG00000007075.1)". Lineage: Eukaryota; Metazoa; Chordata; Aves; Passeriformes; Estrildidae. The record is from RNAcentral.